RNAcentral lists this long non-coding RNA (493 nucleotides) under Homo sapiens (human). RNAcentral describes it as "non-protein coding lnc-MECR-5:3". Lineage: Eukaryota; Metazoa; Chordata; Mammalia; Primates; Hominidae. The record is from RNAcentral.
ACACUCAGGACCCCCAUCUGUGAUGACCUGUCCCACUCAGACAACACCAACAUGGGUCCACUUACAGAAACUUUGUACUUACAGAACCUCACCCACUGGCCAGAGUAUUUGAUAGCUACAGAGGUGCUUGGAGAGCUUAUGGGUCACAUGAUGGGUAAAAUAAAUGUUUCUCUCGUAGCUAGGGAAGAAUUUCCCAGGCAUGUCACAGCCUUCUCUGUUGUCCUGGAAUUUCCAUGCCUUGGUUUGGCCGCUGAACUAAUGGAGGAGAAUUCCAAAAGAAAGGGUGAUUUUGAAAUGGAUCUCUCAAUAAGAGCAUCCAGUCAUGUUUCAGUCAACAUGUACAUACAGUUGGGCAAACUUCAUGUACAAGAUCGUCUUACCAUCAUCAAGUACUCAACUUGCAAAUGAAGAUGCUUGUGAUAAGAGGAAAGCAUUUUCACAGAAAUCUGUGAUACCAUUACCUCAUUCUGGGAGGCCUGAAGAUACUGAAUAA